UGAAAAAAAUUGUUAUAGUGACAACAGUCAUGAUUACUUAAUAAAGUGGACAAUAACAGACACAACAAAAAAGGAAUUAGCGAAAUCGGUCCAGCCGUUCACGCGUGAUGCCGUGACCAAAAAUCCUCAAGCGAUUGCUGGGGGCCUCUUGGAGAGUUGUUGAUUGGGCGCGCAAUGCUGGAAAACGAAGAAUGUUUUAGCUACGUGAUAAAUUCUAUAUGAUUUUUUGUUGUAAAACUUUUGUGUGAAUGCAGUUGAACAACACAAUAUUUACCAUAUUAUCUAGCCAGUCCUAUAAAAAUAAACAAGAACAGAGCUUCUUCUUUAAUAGAGAGUGUAAGUUUUGUAAUUGGACAUUUAUGUAAAAUUUUAGUAAAUUAUGUUAGUUUUAAAUUAUUUAUUAAUCGUAUGUUAGGCUAGAUCGCACUGUUAAAUUGUGUCUUUGUGCAGAGAAUUUAUUUAAAAAAUCUAGCUUAGAGAUUUUAAUAAAUUAAAAAUUAUUAUGUAUGAUUAAUAAAGAGGUUUUUUUUUGAA
This is a long non-coding RNA of Pieris brassicae (large cabbage white), 534 nucleotides long. RefSeq lists it as uncharacterized. The transcript is spliced from 2 exons. The record is from RefSeq and is a predicted model, not a curated record. Lineage: Eukaryota; Metazoa; Arthropoda; Insecta; Lepidoptera; Pieridae.